This 2907-nucleotide ribosomal RNA is filed under the name Escherichia coli O55:H7 str. RM12579. Its description in RNAcentral is "bacterial LSU rRNA". It matches the Rfam family "Bacterial large subunit ribosomal RNA". Lineage: Bacteria; Pseudomonadati; Pseudomonadota; Gammaproteobacteria; Enterobacterales; Enterobacteriaceae. The record is from RNAcentral.
GGUUAAGCGACUAAGCGUACACGGUGGAUGCCCUGGCAGUCAGAGGCGAUGAAGGACGUGCUAAUCUGCGAUAAGCGUCGGUAAGGUGAUAUGAACCGUUAUAACCGGCGAUUUCCGAAUGGGGAAACCCAGUGUGUUUCGACACACUAUCAUUAACUGAAUCCAUAGGUUAAUGAGGCGAACCGGGGGAACUGAAACAUCUAAGUACCCCGAGGAAAAGAAAUCAACCGAGAUUCCCCCAGUAGCGGCGAGCGAACGGGGAGGAGCCCAGAGCCUGAAUCAGUGUGUGUGUUAGUGGAAGCGUCUGGAAAGGCGCGCGAUACAGGGUGACAGCCCCGUACACAAAAAUGCACAUGCUGUGAGCUCGAUGAGUAGGGCGGGACACGUGGUAUCCUGUCUGAAUAUGGGGGGACCAUCCUCCAAGGCUAAAUACUCCUGACUGACCGAUAGUGAACCAGUACCGUGAGGGAAAGGCGAAAAGAACCCCGGCGAGGGGAGUGAAAAAGAACCUGAAACCGUGUACGUACAAGCAGUGGGAGCACAGAGCAAUCUGUGUGACUGCGUACCUUUUGUAUAAUGGGUCAGCGACUUAUAUUCUGUAGCAAGGUUAACCGAAUAGGGGAGCCGAAGGGAAACCGAGUCUUAACUGGGCGUUAAGUUGCAGGGUAUAGACCCGAAACCCGGUGAUCUAGCCAUGGGCAGGUUGAAGGUUGGGUAACACUAACUGGAGGACCGAACCGACUAAUGUUGAAAAAUUAGCGGAUGACUUGUGGCUGGGGGUGAAAGGCCAAUCAAACCGGGAGAUAGCUGGUUCUCCCCGAAAGCUAUUUAGGUAGCGCCUCGUGAAUUCAUCUCCGGGGGUAGAGCACUGUUUCGGCAAGGGGGUCAUCCCGACUUACCAACCCGAUGCAAACUGCGAAUACCGGAGAAUGUUAUCACGGGAGACACACGGCGGGUGCUAACGUCCGUCGUGAAGAGGGAAACAACCCAGACCGCCAGCUAAGGUCCCAAAGUCAUGGUUAAGUGGGAAACGAUGUGGGAAGGCCCAGACAGCCAGGAUGUUGGCUUAGAAGCAGCCAUCAUUUAAAGAAAGCGUAAUAGCUCACUGGUCGAGUCGGCCUGCGCGGAAGAUGUAACGGGGCUAAACCAUGCACCGAAGCUGCGGCAGCGACACUGUGUGUUGUUGGGUAGGGGAGCGUUCUGUAAGCCUGUGAAGGUGUGCUGUGAGGCAUGCUGGAGGUAUCAGAAGUGCGAAUGCUGACAUAAGUAACGAUAAAGCGGGUGAAAAGCCCGCUCGCCGGAAGACCAAGGGUUCCUGUCCAACGUUAAUCGGGGCAGGGUGAGUCGACCCCUAAGGCGAGGCCGAAAGGCGUAGUCGAUGGGAAACAGGUUAAUAUUCCUGUACUUGGUGUUACUGCGAAGGGGGGACGGAGAAGGCUAUGUUGGCCGGGCGACGGUUGUCCCGGUUUAAGCGUGUAGGCUGGUUUUCCAGGCAAAUCCGGAAAAUCAAGGCUGAGGCGUGAUGACGAGGCACUACGGUGCUGAAGCAACAAAUGCCCUGCUUCCAGGAAAAGCCUCUAAGCAUCAGGUAACAUCAAAUCGUACCCCAAACCGACACAGGUGGUCAGGUAGAGAAUACCAAGGCGCUUGAGAGAACUCGGGUGAAGGAACUAGGCAAAAUGGUGCCGUAACUUCGGGAGAAGGCACGCUGAUAUGUAGGUGAAGUCCCUCGCGGAUGGAGCUGAAAUCAGUCGAAGAUACCAGCUGGCUGCAACUGUUUAUUAAAAACACAGCACUGUGCAAACACGAAAGUGGACGUAUACGGUGUGACGCCUGCCCGGUGCCGGAAGGUUAAUUGAUGGGGUCAGCGCAAGCGAAGCUCUUGAUCGAAGCCCCGGUAAACGGCGGCCGUAACUAUAACGGUCCUAAGGUAGCGAAAUUCCUUGUCGGGUAAGUUCCGACCUGCACGAAUGGCGUAAUGAUGGCCAGGCUGUCUCCACCCGAGACUCAGUGAAAUUGAACUCGCUGUGAAGAUGCAGUGUACCCGCGGCAAGACGGAAAGACCCCGUGAACCUUUACUAUAGCUUGACACUGAACAUUGAGCCUUGAUGUGUAGGAUAGGUGGGAGGCUUUGAAGUGUGGACGCCAGUCUGCAUGGAGCCGACCUUGAAAUACCACCCUUUAAUGUUUGAUGUUCUAACGUGGACCCGUGAUCCGGGUUGCGGACAGUGUCUGGUGGGUAGUUUGACUGGGGCGGUCUCCUCCUAAAGAGUAACGGAGGAGCACGAAGGUUGGCUAAUCCUGGUCGGACAUCAGGAGGUUAGUGCAAUGGCAUAAGCCAGCUUGACUGCGAGCGUGACGGCGCGAGCAGGUGCGAAAGCAGGUCAUAGUGAUCCGGUGGUUCUGAAUGGAAGGGCCAUCGCUCAACGGAUAAAAGGUACUCCGGGGAUAACAGGCUGAUACCGCCCAAGAGUUCAUAUCGACGGCGGUGUUUGGCACCUCGAUGUCGGCUCAUCACAUCCUGGGGCUGAAGUAGGUCCCAAGGGUAUGGCUGUUCGCCAUUUAAAGUGGUACGCGAGCUGGGUUUAGAACGUCGUGAGACAGUUCGGUCCCUAUCUGCCGUGGGCGCUGGAGAACUGAGGGGGGCUGCUCCUAGUACGAGAGGACCGGAGUGGACGCAUCACUGGUGUUCGGGUUGUCAUGCCAAUGGCACUGCCCGGUAGCUAAAUGCGGAAGAGAUAAGUGCUGAAAGCAUCUAAGCACGAAACUUGCCCCGAGAUGAGUUCUCCCUGACCCUUUAAGGGUCCUGAAGGAACGUUGAAGACGACGACGUUGAUAGGCCGGGUGUGUAAGCGCAGCGAUGCGUUGAGCUAACCGGUACUAAUGAACCGUGAGGCUUAACCUUAC